This 341-nucleotide RNase P RNA is filed under the name bovine gut metagenome. RNAcentral's name for it is "Bacterial RNase P class A". It matches the Rfam family "Bacterial RNase P class A". From Rfam's summary of the family: Ribonuclease P (RNase P) is a ubiquitous endoribonuclease, found in archaea, bacteria and eukarya as well as chloroplasts and mitochondria. The record is from RNAcentral.
AGAAGGUUGGGCAGUCGCGGGCACUUUGUGCGUGAGGAAAGUCCGAGCUUCACCGAGCAGGAUAACGGCUAACGGCCGCCGAGGGUGACCUUAGGGAAAGUGCAACAGAGAUAUACCGCCUGCUUUGCAGGUAAGGGUGGAAAGGCGAGGUAAGAGCUCACCGGGGUACGGGAGACCGUACUGCCAUGUAAACCCUAUCCGAAGCAACACCGACCGGGGGUGGGGCAUUGCCCCUGCGCUUGCUCAGCGAUACUCCGAAGGGUGGCUAAAGCUGUGCAGCAAUGUACAGCGUAGACAGAUGAUUGCCUUAAAUGACAGAACUCGGCUUACAGACCUUCUCG